AAGCUCGUAGUUGAAUUUCGGGGUUAGUAGGUUGGUCAUGCCUCUGGUAUGUACUGGUCUCACUGAUUCCUCCUUCCUUAUGAACCGUAAUGCCAUUAAUUUGGUGUUGCGGGGAAUUUGGACUGUUACUUUGAAAAAAUUAGAGUGUUUAAAGCAAGCUAACGCUUGAAUACAUUAGCAUGGAAUAAUGAAAUAGGACGUUCGAUCUUAUUUUGUUGGUUUCUAGGAUUGACGUAAUGAUUAAUGGGAUAGUUGGG
This 257-nucleotide ribosomal RNA is filed under the name uncultured Glomus. RNAcentral describes it as "partial 18S ribosomal RNA". It matches the Rfam family "Eukaryotic small subunit ribosomal RNA", at positions 624 to 885 of the family's 1831-position model. Lineage: Eukaryota; Fungi; Glomeromycota; Glomeromycetes; Glomerales; Glomeraceae. The record is from RNAcentral.